Molecule: long non-coding RNA, 277 nt
Organism: Tarenaya hassleriana
Lineage: Eukaryota; Viridiplantae; Streptophyta; Magnoliopsida; Brassicales; Cleomaceae
Exons: 2
Source: RefSeq, a predicted model, not a curated record
CCGUGAUGGUUCCACCUGUCGCUGCCGUACCGUACCUGCCUCCGCGAUCUUUCAGCCGAUCGUCUUUCGCUGCUCCGGCGAAGCUUGUUUCAGUCAAGCAGAAAGGAACUUGCAGAGGAUAUAGAGUCCCUGAAGAAGAAAAUUGCGGGAGAGGCUUCUGUAUCCUUAUCCUGUAAUACAUUCUCUCUGUUCUCUUGUUCAUAUCUGAAAACUCUCUAAAUGUAUUCGAGACGAACAAACCCAGAGAUAGUUCCAGAAAAUAUAAUUGAAUUUUCCA